This 520-nucleotide ribosomal RNA is filed under the name uncultured Archaeospora. RNAcentral describes it as "SSU rRNA". It matches the Rfam family "Eukaryotic small subunit ribosomal RNA", at positions 569 to 1097 of the family's 1831-position model. Lineage: Eukaryota; Fungi; Glomeromycota; Glomeromycetes; Archaeosporales; Archaeosporaceae. The record is from RNAcentral.
AGCAGCCGCGGUAAUUCCAGCUCCAAUAGCGUAUAUUAAAGUUGUUGCAGUUAAAAAGCUCGUAGUUGAAUUUUAGGCCUGGCCGGGCGGUCCGUCUUUGGCGAGUACUGUUCUGUGUCGGGUCUUACCUUCUGGUGAACCGGCAUGUUCUUUAUUGAGUGUACCGGGGAGCCAGGACCAUUACCUUGAAAAAAUUAGAGUGUUUAAAGCAGGCAUUUGCUUGAAUAGAUUAGCAUGGAAUAAUAGAAUAGGACGUUGGUUCUAUUUUGUUGGUCUAGGACCACCGUAAUGAUUAAUAGGGAUAGUUGGGGGCAUUAGUAUUCAAUUGUCAGAGGUGAAAUUCUUGGAUUUAUUGAAGACUAACUAUUGCGAAAGCAUUUGCCAAGGAUGUUUUCAUUAAUCAAGAACGAAAGUUAGGGGAUCGAAGACGAUCAGAUACCGUCGUAGUCUUAACCAUAAACUAUGCCGACUAGGAAUCGGGCACGUUAUUUUCAUGACUCGCUCGGCGCCUUAUGGGAAA